UUUUUGAAAACCUUAAGGAUAGACUCAGAAAGUGUGAAGGAGAGAAACAGAAGUAGGAACUGUGUUCCCAAGGACCAUGUGAGCCACCAUGACGAACUUGGCAAGAUUCCCAUGAUGCCCUGUGAUUCUUGACCCAUGCUAGUCUCCUCAAGCCAUCCCAGAUAUAUCUCUUGCUUUUUCUUUCCUCCUCCUAGGAUGGAUGAAAAUUACAACCUUUUGCCUCAUGGAGUCAAUUUCCAAGACGCUAUCUUUCCUGAUACACAAGAAAACAGACGGAUGUUUUCCAGUCUUUUCCAGUUUGCAAACUGUUCCCAAGGGCAGCAGCUCAUGACUUUCUCCAGUGACUGGGAGAUCCAGGAAGACAGCAGGCUCCUGUGCUCCUCCGUGCAGAAGGCCCUGUUUGAGGAAGAGGACCACGUCAAGAAGCUGCAGCAGAAGGUGGCGACCCUGGAGAAGCGUAACAGGCAGCUGCGCGAGCGGGUGAAGAAGGUCAAGCGGUCCCUGCGCCAGGCCCGGAAGAGCGGGCGCCAGCUGGAGCUGCUGCACCAGAAGCUGAGCGCGAAGCUGGCGGCGGCUGCAGCGGGGGAGGCACCGCACAUCAAUGCGCUGGGGCGUGAGCCCGCGCACGCCCCCUUCCGGCACGGGUAGUAGGUGCAGCGGGCGGCUGGGCCCGCAGCAUCCCUGCAGGCUUGGGGAAAGGCGGGCUUUCAUAGGUGCACUUGUUUCAGACCUUCUAGAAGAUCUCUGUUCUGUAUAGUCUACCCGGGUAGAAUGCCAAGUCUUUACUUUCCCCUUGGUUGCUGGCCUUAGCCUCAGACUGCAUGCUUCCUCCUCCUGGCCUGGUCACAAACACGGUGCCCAGAACAGGUGUAGCAGGACCCUCAAGGACAGAGUGCUGGGCCAGGGUCUGGCCUCAGCGUCUGGGAGUGGCCCAGAAAGUGCCCUGGCUGGGAAAGAAGCUCUGUGCACAGAUAUCAGGGGGCUGAGCCCUUCUUUACGCGAGAGUCAGUGUGGGUCUCAAGUCCCUGAGUCCCGAGGACCCGACUGAAGCAGGUCCUGAAACCCUUGGUGCCCCUUGACCCCACCUUUGGAAGCAGGACAUACUCCUGGGCAUUCGCAAGAGUGUAGGACAUCCUGUCUCCCUCAGCCUCCCCCCACGGCCCAGGCAGGUUAGGCCUCAGUGAGUGCAUCACAGGUGGCGAGUUGAUUCUCCAGUGGGACAGCAGAUAAUUAAACAAGUUGAAUUACACCUGGUUACCAGUACCAGGUCCCAGGAGUUAACCAGUGAUAGCCAAUCUAGAGGGCAAUUGCUUCUGUGAGGCUGCUGCAUUUUUUCAGACUGUGUUUCCAAAUCAGAGUUUAACUCAGCAGCUGCUAAAUUUUAACUUCGUGUUGCUUCUACUGUCUGUGUUUGAGGUGAGCUGCCCCAACACGCUGUGAGCUUCUGUGCUGCAGUCGUCUCCCCACCUAUGGGAUCAGGUGACCUCACCUCAUUUCCACCCAGGUUCCCGGAGGGCUUUUUCCAGAUGUUCCAACCUCUGCUUCCUCAUGCACCCCCCUCCCUGUUCACCUAUGCCUGACAGUGUUGGCUGCACAGCCGCACAGUUGGUGUAACAGAUCCUUAAGCAAUCGUGCACUUUACCUCCUCUAGAAAGAACACUUUUCAGGCAACAGAAGUAUACAGGAGAGGAUUCGCUCUCUGUGCCGCUUAGGCAUGCUGGGCCGAGUCAGCUAUUUCUAAGACGUCAGCCUUCUCUCGGUUACAUCUGAGAAUGGCCCUCCAAACCAAGCACCUUUCCCCAUGUCGCACCUGUGUAAGCCACUGGCCCUGCAUUUGAAUCUGCUAGCCAAAGACCACUGCAGGCCCUGCAGGGUUGAUAAUGCCACUUUCUCCUUGGGAGAUGACAGGUCUCAUCCCCUGCCACUACGAAGGCCAGGCGCUUCUUGCUGUGGCAGCCAGUCUAGGGACAUGAGCCUUAUGUCACUUGGGUCUUGGUGGCAGGCUGGUGCCCCAGAGAGAGAAGUGUAUGCCCUGAACUGGGUAAGAUGGGAAGUACUAUCUGGGGGCACCUGGCUUUCGAACUUCUGCCCCUAUCUUGUUAGCUCUAUCCUUCAUGGUGUGCUGCUGUAGAAAGUGUAUCUUCUAGUUCAUUCUUCCUGGGCACAUUUUAUUAAAGUAGCUUGCUUCCAGCCAAGCAAUUGGAAGUCUAGGGGUGAUUUACAGGCUGGGCUUGGACAACUAUGCAAGCUGGAUCUCUACAGAUGCAUUAUGUUCUGCUUUUUCAAUAAACAUGAGCAACGAUUUCAACUACAAUAACAAG
Cavia porcellus (domestic guinea pig) is the source of this 2321-nucleotide long non-coding RNA. The record is from Ensembl. NCBI's taxonomy places the organism in Eukaryota, Metazoa, Chordata, Mammalia, Rodentia, Caviidae.